This 447-nucleotide ribosomal RNA is filed under the name uncultured bacterium. RNAcentral describes it as "bacterial SSU rRNA". It matches the Rfam family "Bacterial small subunit ribosomal RNA", at positions 354 to 796 of the family's 1533-position model. The record is from RNAcentral.
GUCGAGGAUCUUCCGCAAUGGGCGAAAGCCUGACGGAGCGACACCGCGUGCAGGAUGAAGGCCUUCGGGUUGUAAACUGCUGUCACGCUAUAGGAAACCCUGAAUGUGAACAGCAUUCAGGCUGACUAAAGCGAGAGGAAGCACCGGCUAACUCUGUGCCAGCAGCCGCGGUAAUACAGAGGGUGCAAACGUUGCUCGGAAUCACUGGGCAUAAAGCGCACGUAGGCGGUCUACUAAGUCUGGUGUGAAAUCCCUCGGCUCAACCGGGGAACUGCAUUGGAUACUGGUAGGCUUGAGAGUUGUAGGGGUGGACGGAACUCCAGGUGGAGCGGUGAAAUGCGUAGAUAUCUGGAGGAACACCGGAGGCGAAAGCGGUCCACUGGGCAACUUCUGACGCUGAGGUGCGAAAGCUAGGGUAGCAAACGGGAUUAGAUACCCUAGUAGUCC